This 2979-nucleotide long non-coding RNA is filed under the name Ananas comosus (pineapple). RNAcentral describes it as "long non-coding RNA (ACOM_LNC042749)". The record is from RNAcentral. Lineage: Eukaryota; Viridiplantae; Streptophyta; Magnoliopsida; Poales; Bromeliaceae.
GCGGGUGACUCGUGGCACGAGUCGGUGAGUUCAGGACACUUAGUGGGUCCCGACGACGUCCCGGUGUGGUUUUCGGGACUUCCGGUGAGUUACGGUAAUCGGUUUUGGGAAACCGAUUACGGGGAUUCUGUGUGGGGGUUUGUGAGUCUCGUGCUUUGGGUUGUGGUUUGGAUUCUGACUUGCUGAAUCUUCUUAGGUCCGGUAGACUCUGUGCGUACCCAGCGUUCCGACGCGAUAGUGACAGGUGGGUACUUCGAUCCGACGUCGGUACGGUGGUGCACGCUCGGUGAUGGUUUCCUAGCUCUGUUCUCUCGUUAUUAUCUGGCAUUUAUAUAUAUAUCUUGAUAUAUAGUAUUGAGCUUGCAUCCCCGUUGUUUCUAUUAUACUCUACUCAUAUGUUUCUAUGCUUAGUAUCAUGUGUAGAAGUAGAGUAGUUUAUCCAUUGUGAUCCCGGUGACCUGAUUGGUCGGUUCUCGUACUUCGUUUCGGUGACCUGGUUGGUCGGUUGUUGCAUUAUGUAUUGGGUUGGUCUGUUUCUUGACUUCUGUCGUUCGAUGACCUUUGAGGUCGGUGUACCCUGAGGGGUAGGAUUGUCAGCUGGCGCUGACGGUAGUUCUGGACUAUAUCGAAGACACUUCUGUGACCUAUCGGUCGGUUCUUGCGUUCGUACUUUUAGUUGACAUCGAGCAGUAUCUACAUACUAUCUUUAUUUACUCUGCCUGGUUGUUCUAUGUGUAGUAUCCUGUAUAGGGGUAGAGUAGAUGGCAUUCGUAUAUACUAUACUUGUGACCUGGUUGGUCGGUUCUCCUAUUUGCAUCGGUGACCUGUUUGGUCGUUCGUUACUUUCCAUACAUUGACCUAUCUCGGUCGGUUCACGUUGUUACUUGAUGACCUACACGGUCGGUAUGCCCAGAGGGGCAGUGAUUGUCGGCUGAUUGCCGACGGUUGGCUAUUGAUCAUAUCCGCAUUGAUCGCCACAGCUCGAGUGCAUUUCACGUACACCAGCGGGUUGAUCCCCCGCAGGAGGGUGUUCUUUUCCGGAAAAGUGGUCGUACAUCCGACCCGUGAGCCCAGCGGUGUUCUCUUUGUGCUAGGGUUACAUGCCAGGUGUGAGCAGAUAGUGGCUUUUGCCUGAGGUCCUUAGACCGACACGGCGGUUUAGAUUGGGUACUUUUGGGACUUCUCGUCCGGUUGACGCAUAUAGCUAUAGUAGCGGUUGUUGCAUAUGUACUUCUAGUUCCUUCUUUACAGUUGUCUUGCUACUAUAGUAUUGAUAUCCUUGUAUGCUUGCAGUUGUACAUUACAGUAGCGGUAGUUGUGUUUUCAUAUAUAUAUAUAUAUCUCGUUCGUUCAUUAUCGUUGCUACUGUAUUUUACUUACCCAUACUGUUGGUUAUCUCUUCCUGAUCCGGUGAGUACUCCUCGCCUUCUUCGGCUUGCGGUACCCACUGGGAGGGGAGACAUAUUUACAUGUUCUCACCGCCCCCACCAUUUUUCAGGUAUCGCGGGCGAUGAGUAGUGGGACGAGACGUGAGGUACGCGUGUAGCGGUCGAUAGAGCUCUCGACCCAGGUUAAUUCGGUUUACUUCCUUACCCUUCUUAGUUUGGUUGAUGAAUAGUUUAGUUGGUCUAUGUGGUUCAGUGUUUAUUUACAUUUGAAAAUGUGGAUUUCUGGAUUUUGUAAAAUAAAAAUGAUUUUCUACCCCUCGUGGUAGCGUUUUGAAAAGAUAAAAGUUCCCGUGUAGGGAACAGUUUUCAAAGGGUUUUCGGUGAUUUUGUAUCUUAGUAUUUCAAAACCUGUUUCUGUGGUUGGAAACAUUUUAACUGAUAGAUGUGAAUUUAUGUUUAAAUAUUGAAUGGUAAAACGUGAAUCUGUGGUGAAUGGUGUAUGAAUAUAUAACUGUGAUUAUUUGUAUGUUCAUCUGGUUGUAGUUGUAUCAUGUUUGAACUCUUGUACUUGUGCGACGCCGUGCAAAUACAGGGGAGACUCUGUCCGUGUGAACAGUGGAUCUCCUGUAUUUGUGGCGGAUCUGGCAUACCCUGGGGUCAAGUUUUCAAAAAAAAAAAUUUCAGACGCUUUUCCGCUAUGCUUUAAACUAAAAAGGGACCCCGGGGCGUGACAUAAUAUGAAUAAUUGCUGAAAAUAACUGCUACUAUCAUGCCUCUACAAUAUAGCUGAAAUUGUAAAUUUUGUUUUGUAUCCAUCAAUUAGAGACUAAAUAAAAUACUACAAUAAUGCCCAACAGUCAGGUCUAGCCUGCGCCGCCUCGUGUCCAGCACCCACCUAUAGUGGUCCGCUACCACGCAGGCUACUGUUUGGCCCAUGCCAUAAUAAUAUCUUAUAGCCCAACCUCCGGAGUGGCACUCGCGGGGCACUACCCCAACCGAGUCAAAUGCGAUGAUCAAACAGAUCAUGAUAAUAUUGUCAUAGUGUCUAAAAUACAAUUAUAGUCUACACUCUCUGUAGCUAUUUAUUGAUCUUUAGAAAAAUAUCAAAUAUAUAUGUCUCAAUUUACUCUAUUGGCAGGUGUCAAAAUAUCAUUAUUAUCUCUCAACUAUGUUAACAGUUCAUCUCACAGGUUAAAUAAUAUAAUACGGCCAUAGAAAUUAGUCUACCAAUUUUGACAACACCGAACCCACCUAUAACGCAAGUCCAAGAAAAUGAACAGUAAACGAGAUAGCAGCCACAACACUCUAAAAUAGCUCGAAAAUCCCUCGUCAAGAUUACGCGAAAUCCGCUCCUAAAAUGUAUAUAAAAAAAAAUCAGUUUCCAACUCUCAAUUUCUACCAAAAAUUUAUCAAAAGAAUCUAAACAAGAAAUAAUAAUAUUGUGAUACUAACCACAAUGUCGAAACACCAAAAAUAAACACGCGCGCUCUCGACUCGCUAUAAAAACAAACCAAACCCCUUUCUUUCUUUCUUUCUUUCUUUUUUUUCCUUGGUCGAGCUUAGUUUCCCUCUCCUUCUCUUUUUUUUUUUU